This 1029-nucleotide ribosomal RNA is filed under the name Setoarthopyrenia chromolaenae. Its description in RNAcentral is "SSU rRNA". It matches the Rfam family "Eukaryotic small subunit ribosomal RNA", at positions 62 to 1100 of the family's 1831-position model. The record is from RNAcentral. Lineage: Eukaryota; Fungi; Ascomycota; Dothideomycetes; Pleosporales; Thyridariaceae.
AGUAUAAGCAAUUAUACCGUGAAACUGCGAAUGGCUCAUUAAAUCAGUUAUCGUUUAUUUGAUAGUACCUUACUACUUGGAUACCCGUGGUAAUUCUAGAGCUAAUACAUGCAAAAAACCCCGACUUCGGAAGGGGUGUAUUUAUUAGAUAAAAAACCAAUGCCCUUCGGGGCUCCUUGGUGAUUCAUAAUAACUUAACGGAUCGCAUGGCCUUGCGCCGGCGACGGUUCAUUCAAAUUUCUGCCCUAUCAACUUUCGAUGGUAAGGUAUUGGCUUACCAUGGUUUCAACGGGUAACGGAUUUUUAGGGAAAGAUCCCGGAGAGGGAGCCUGAGAAACGGCUACCACAUCCAAGGAAGGCAGCAGGCGCGCAAAUUACCCAAUCCCGACACGGGGAGGUAGUGACAAUAAAUACUGAUACAGGGCUCUUUUGGGUCUUGUAAUCGGAAUGAGUACAAUUUAAAUACCUUAACGAGGAACAAUUGGAGGGCAAGUCUGGUGCCAGCAGCCGCGGUAAUUCCAGCUCCAAUAGCGUAUAUUAAAGUUGUUGCAGUUAAAAAGCUCGUAGUUGAACCUUGGGCCUGGCUGGCCGGUCCGCCUCACCGCGUGUACUGGUCCGGCCGGGCCUUUCCUUCUGGAGAACCGCAUGCCCUUCACUGGGUGUGUCGGGGAACCAGGACUUUUACUUUGAGAAAAUUAGAGUGUUCAAAGCAGGCCUUUGCUCGAAUACGUUAGCAUGGAAUAAUAGAAUAGGACGUGCGGUCCUAUUUUGUUGGUUUCUAGAACCGCCGUAAUGAUUAAUAGGGAUAGUCGGGGGCGUCAGUAUUCAAUUGUCAGAGGUGAAAUUCUUGGAUCUAUUGAAGACUAACUACUGCGAAAGCAUUCGCCAAGGAUGUUUUCAUUAAUCAGUGAACGAAAGUUAGGGGAUCGAAGACGAUCAGAUACCGUCGUAGUCUUAACCGUAAACUAUGCCGACUAGGGAUCGGGCGAUGUUUCUAUCUUGACUCGCUCGGCACCUUACGAGAAAUCA